This is an RNA transcript of Mastomys coucha (southern multimammate mouse), 5522 nucleotides long. It is a transcript of the gene named leucine rich repeat and Ig domain containing 2, with no coding region annotated. The record is from RefSeq and is a predicted model, not a curated record. NCBI's taxonomy places the organism in Eukaryota, Metazoa, Chordata, Mammalia, Rodentia, Muridae. The transcript has 8 exons.
CAAAUCGGACUAGAGUGCUCCGUUAACUGGAGAGGAGGGACGAUGUCGCCAGCUUUCCCAUUCUGGGAAACCCUGGUGAAGGCUCUCUUCUGGCUCUCGACUGUGGCCUGGGGCCGCGAUCGCGAGGCUGGGCGUGCGUGUUGUUGCGCGCGCGCGGGGGUGUGCGUGUGAGCGGUGCGUGUAAGCCGGGCGUGUGUGCGCGCAGUCCGCGCGCCGAGUGUGGCCGCCGGGACCCAGCAGCCCGCCGCCUGCCCGGUGUCCCUCCUUCCCAGCUCCUCAGCCAUCUCACCGGGGCCUUCCACUACCCAUCCCUUGGCUUUGAGGCCUCCUCUCAAAGUUUCCUUGGCGCAGACGCUUAAGCGCAAAGGCUGGAGCCAAGACGCCGAGGUGGUGGAGGGCAAUCCUCGGCGUGGCUGUGCUGCCAGCACCUGCUCCUCACCGAACCCGCCUGAGCGCAGGUUUUCUUCCCACUUGGCGGGAGCAGGGGGAGGGGUGAAGUGGCAAGAAUCUGAGAGGAGCCCCGGCUCCUGACGGCACACACAGCUUGGCUACCCAACGAAUUUGUGGGGUCACCGAAGAAACCUGGAUCUGCAGCCAAGUUGCCUGAGCGGGGACAGGGAAGGUUUCCACGGCCAUCCAAGGUUGUCCCUGUAUCAGUCGCCACAGGCUUGAGGGUUUGGAGACACUGAGGCUGCCAGGGCUUUAGAACCGACAUUCCCUCCCUGACCCCUUUGAAAGGAAAAGCUGACAGAGCUGAGGCAGGAGGACGCCUGAAAGAAGCACGGGGGGACCUCUAUGAGCUUCAUCCUCCUUGGCUUUGGAUUUUAAGGACACGAAGGAGCAUGAACAACACGUCAAGGAAAUCUGAUGAUGAUGGUUUCAAAAUGUAGAAUCCUUAUUUGUGAAGUAUUCCAAAUGAAGUUGAGGAAUCUGGAUUGAAAGUACUUCAUAUUGUGGAAUUGGAAAGUGACAGAGGAAGGCAGCACCAUGUGCUCUUGGGGCUUCUAAUCUACUCCAUGGAUUUUUAACAUAUGAGCAUAGUGAAAUAAUCAUAAAAAGAGGUUCUACGAUCAAGAGCACAGGUGGACACCAGCAUGAGGAGCCCAGUCCAUAUUGAUGAAGUGAAAGAAGCAAAAUGCAGUAUUCAAGGCAUGUUUCAAGCAGUUGGCUGGUGGGACUUUGAGAGAUGCUGCUGCCUGUGACGUGGUGGAGUUACCAUGAUCAAGCACUCAGUUCGGAUUUCAUCCAGUGGCCAUGAUCUUUGUCUGAUAGACGGCGGCAGGGGUUGGAUUUUUAAAAAGGAGCAAACCAGGCCCAUAACCAAGGUGUAGACUAAGAAGUGGAGUCAUGCUUCACACGGCUAUACCAUGCUGGCAGCCAUUCCUGGGUCUGGCUAUGGUGUUACUCUUCAUGGGAUCCACCAUUGGCUGUCCUGCUCGCUGCGAGUGCUCCGCCCAGAACAAAUCUGUUAGCUGCCACAGAAGACGCUUGCUCGCGAUCCCAGAAGGCAUUCCCAUUGAGACCAAAAUCUUGGACCUAAGCAAAAAUCGACUAAAGAGCAUAAACCCGGAAGAAUUCAUCUCAUAUCCUCUGUUGGAGGAGAUAGACUUGAGCGACAACAUCAUCGCCAAUGUAGAGCCCGGGGCAUUUAACAACCUCUUUAACCUACGUUCCCUCCGCCUCAAAGGCAAUCGCCUUAAGUUGGUCCCUUUAGGAGUAUUCACAGGACUGUCCAACCUCACCAAGCUUGACAUUAGUGAGAAUAAGAUUGUCAUUUUGCUGGACUACAUGUUCCAGGAUCUGCAUAACCUGAAGUCUCUAGAAGUGGGGGACAAUGAUUUGGUUUAUAUAUCGCACAGGGCCUUCAGCGGACUACUUAGCUUGGAGCAGCUCACCCUGGAGAAGUGCAACUUGACAGCAGUACCAACAGAAGCCCUCUCUCAUCUCCGCAGCCUCAUCACCCUGCAUCUGAAGCAUCUCAAUAUCAACAAUAUGCCUGUGUAUGCCUUUAAAAGAUUGUUCCACCUAAAAAACCUAGAGAUCGACUACUGGCCUUUGUUGGAUUUGAUGCCCGCCAAUAGCCUCUAUGGUCUCAACCUCACGUCCCUUUCAAUCACCAACACCAACCUAUCCACUGUCCCCUUCCUCGCCUUUAAACACCUUGUAUACCUGACCCACCUAAACCUCUCCUACAAUCCCAUCAGCACUAUUGAAGCAGGCAUGUUCUCUGACCUGAUCCGCCUACAGGAGCUUCAUAUAGUGGGGGCCCAGCUCCGCACUAUUGAGCCUCACUCCUUCCAAGGGCUCCGCUUCCUCCGUGUGCUCAAUGUAUCUCAGAACCUGCUGGAAACAUUGGAAGAGAAUGUUUUCUCCUCCCCUAGGGCUUUGGAGGUCCUGAGCAUUAACAACAACCCACUAGCCUGUGACUGCCGACUCCUCUGGCUCCUUCAGCGACAGCCUACCCUGCAGUUUGGGGGUCAGCAACCCAUGUGUGCCGGGCCAGACACCAUCCGUGAGAGGUCAUUUAAGGAUUUCCAUAGCACUGCUCUUUCUUUUUAUUUUACCUGUAAAAAACCCAAAAUCCGUGAAAAGAAGUUACAGCAUCUACUCGUGGACGAAGGGCAGACGGUCCAGCUGGAGUGCAACGCUGAUGGCGACCCACAGCCCGUGAUUUCCUGGGUGACACCUCGAAGGCGUUUUAUCACCACCAAGUCCAACGGAAGGGCCACUGUGUUGGGUGAUGGCACCUUGGAAAUCCGCUUCGCCCAGGAUCAAGACAGUGGGAUGUAUGUUUGCAUCGCUAGCAAUGCUGCUGGGAAUGAUACCUUCACAGCGUCUCUCACUGUGAAGGGAUUCACUUCAGACCGCUUUCUUUACGCAAACAGGACCCCUAUGUACAUGACUGACGCCAACGACACCAUUUCCAACGGCACUAAUGCCAAUACUUUCUCCCUGGACCUUAAAACAAUACUGGUAUCUACAGCCAUGGGCUGUUUCACAUUCCUGGGAGUGGUUUUAUUUUGUUUUCUCCUUCUUUUUGUGUGGAGCCGAGGAAAAGGCAAGCAUAAAAACAGCAUUGACCUUGAGUAUGUGCCCCGAAAAAACAAUGGUGCUGUUGUGGAAGGGGAGGUGGCUGGACCCAGGAGGUUCAACAUGAAAAUGAUCUAAGGGCCCACCACGCUCUACUGUCUCUGUGUUACUGUUGGUCAUGAGUAAGACGUCUGAUAGAGUGAAUGGAUCACAAGGUUAUCAGGCAGCUUCACGCAGCUGCCCCUGUGUCAAAGCAGGAUCCAUGGAAGCAGGAGGACUUCUCAUGGAGACUGGCUGAUUAGAGGCAGGCAGGCAUGUGUCAGAGCCCUUCACACAGUGGGAUACUAAUUGUUUGCAUUGCAAAUAUUGGCAUUCUGGGGAUCUCAGUAAUGAACCUGAACCUUUGGCUCAUGCUGAUGGACAAUAAUUCAACAUUUUCUACCACUGCAAAACUAAAAGAAAAAAAAUUUAAAAAGAACAACCUACAGUGUAGGAUUUACAUAUUAAAAAAGACACAUUUGUCUAAAACAUACUCUACAGUAAAAUUUGUAUUUAUUAUCAUUUGUUAAAACCUUGCAUCAUACAAUACUGUUGGUUCAGCACCAAAAAGAGAUCAAUAUAUUCUUUUUUGAAACAUAUAUGCUGUAUAUGUUUUAAAGCAAUAUGAAUGAGAGGUUGUGCUUUUAGUUACUCACCAGUAUAGAUCCAAGUGUGAUCUCACCUUCCUCUUACCUGCAGAUAAACCUGAGAAUAGAUCCCUGGAAUAAUAGGCAGAGAUGUGUUGAGAUGUGUAUGUCUGAUGUAGGAUGCCAAGAAACAAGACCCAAGUCAAAACUGCUCAACUCUGUUAACUUCUGUUACUAUAAAUAAAGGCAUGUGCCUAGUUUUGAUACAGAAUGGAAUAUUUUUUAUACGUACACUACCAACUUGGACCAGUUUACUGUAACAGAAGCCCUUGGUUUCUCCAGAAGGUGGUACAUCACUAGAUGUACCUGUAGAAUGCAAGGGGCUGUGCACAGAACUGUGAAACAACACAGAAUGUGUCUUGAGGCUCUGUAGAAAAGAAAAAAUAGAUCAUUUUCAACUGAGAAGACUCAAACCUGACAGAAAAGACAUCAAGAAUUUAAAGAAAGGCUGGAGGGAGACACAGGAUCUAUUUAAAUUCUAUUUGCUUUAUUGCUCAUUUUUAUAGUUCUCUCCCGACCAAAGAAGAAUCAGUGAUUGUGCUUCUGUUUAAACUUUCAUGGCUUCUUAGGUUCUUUCUCUGAGUCCUGGCCAUCUGUAGGUUGCAACAUGGGGUUGCAAAUGUGGGGUGUGAACCAAGUUAAAGAAAACAUCAACAACAACAAAACAACAAAGCAAAACAACAGCAGUCCACUGAGACCAAAGCCAUUCAUUCUAUUUGGUAUUUAGAGUAAAGAUGUAUCAUUUUAAUUGCUGAAAUGAUCAUUUCCUUGUAGAAUAAUAUAUCAUAGGAUCAGUUAUUUCCAUUGACUUUUCUCUAUUCAACCCCUUUGGUCUAAUACCCAUGAUUGUUUUUAAUGAUUUUUUUUUUUACAUUAUUCUGCCUUGAUAGAAAAAAGUGGGCAAUAAAAUAUCAUUUGACAUUGGCUUUUUAAGUUUUUUAUUUGGAUAGAUGAGAGAAGGUGUAUCUUGGUACCUAGCAAACACUUGAUAUGGAUCUCUCUCCAUUUCUACUUUCAAAGGCCAUUCCCAUGACAGCCUCCUCACAUGUGAACCAGCAAAACUAUGAUUACUAGGCAAAGAACUCCUCCCAACAUAGGCCAUCGAGAGGAGAGAUGAGUGUUUAUUUGCUGUGGUCUUUGACUAAGUUGGAACCUGGAGCCUAUAUCUAUGCUUACACAGUUAGCUAAGAAAUGAUGCCAUAAGUAAAUAAUUAAUGAUAUAUUUUUUUCAAUAUGAAAUUACCUUGUCCACUUAGAGAGCAGUUUAUGUGUAGCUGUGUGUUUCCUCCAGAAGUGGGCAGGAGACUGGAACUGCUCAUCUACAGUCAGCUUCUCAACAGAUAGCCAAGAUGAAGCCCUAGUGACAGAAACAACCAAAACAACCAAAAACGUGCUUAAAAUGCAUGAAGGCUUAAAGCACAAUGUAGACAGAUGCUGCUCCUUCUAAAUAUAGGAAUCUGACCAAGAUAAGUUCAGGUGAUCUUUAGAUUUCUAUCCUUCAUUUCGCCUCAAUAGCCCUCCUCCCACACUCCAAGUUCCCUGCUAGACAUCCAGAAUGGAAAAAUGAGGAAGCAGCAGUGUGUGCAGUAGGUACCCUACUAUAAUGAACUAGAUCCCAAGGUUCCCUGGGCCAGCAGUGGUGAUAGUUCAGCCAGGAUCAAGUUCUAUAUUUUACUCUGUGCACACCUACCUGUUGGUAAAGUUUAAAUCAGGCACAGUGAAUGUUUAACAACAAUAAUAAUAAGCUAGAAAAACAAUCGUAGUAUAUUUUUAUUUCCAUUUGGAUGUUGACCACUGGUAGUAAGU